UCAGUUCUUGCACUCAAAUCACUUUAUAACGAAACACAUGUUUGUGAUUAUCAAUUAAGAUAUGUCUUUUCUAUUUUCUUUGGUUCCAUCGCCUUUUCUCUCUCGCUUUGCUCCGACUUAAACAUUGCCGGUGAGUUUUAGCGAUUGUAUUGUUCCUUGUUACUUCCUCUCUAUUCUUUCCAUGUUCUUCGUUCUUCUUUGCGGGUUUUCCCUUUGAGUUUGCUUUGCACACAUCUAUCUUCAUUUGUUUUUUGAUUUCAGCAAUCCAAGAUGUAAUAAUCAGGGACAAUUUGAGUACUGAAGAUCUCAACUAAGGUAAAAUACUAUUCUUAAGCCCUUAUACUUAAAGGAUCAUAAACCCUAUCUUUCGUGUUUAGUAAACAGUUUUGAAUUUCUCAUAUUAAUUAAGAGUAAUUGUUUGAUGCUGAAGAAAGACCAGGCCUUAUAACCCUCUCAAAGUGAGCUUUCCAAUCCGGCUAUCCUAGUCUUGUGCCUUUUUCCUAUUGGAGUUUUUCAGUACAUUAUUAGAACUGGAUAUGGAUUUGUAGUUAGCUUUUGUUGAAUAGACUUCUGGACUUUGCUGAGAAGAUUCAAACAUGACAAAAAUGUUUAUCACAGAUUUUAAGGAGGUUUCAGCCUUUCAGGUAAGGUUCAUCUCAUAUCUUAAAUGACCCAAUUUGUUGCUUUUCUGUAAAUAGAGGCUUGUAUUGUUAUAUCCCAUUCGUCGUCUUCUCAUAAAAUUUAGAAAACAUAAAUGGUGCCUCUAUUUUCAGAAGUUCAAAAUACAUCAUAUCGCAUAAACUACAUAAAUAUCUGGUAUAAUCGUCGCCGCACCAUCAGUGGCAGAGGUAGGAUCUCCACGAGGGGUUUAAAAAAUAUUUUUGUAGCUAGUGGAAAUUAAAGCCAUGACCUUGUGUAGAUUUUGAACCCCCUUGAACACUAAACUACACUAUUGGAUUGUGUUAAGAGUGUUCAAACCUUAAUAUAUAGAGGUAAAAAACAGAUUUUGUCUUAUGUAUGCAGUGUAAUUUUUCGGCAAAGGGGUUCGGGUGAACAGCUUGUGGCCCCCUAAAUCCGCCCCUGUGCACCAUCUUACUUUUGUUUUCCACCAUUCUCUAAAGUGUUGUACAUUUCACCUUCUUGGAUGAUUGCAACGCCAUUUAUGCAUAUUUUGUCUCUGCUAUUUACUCUCUGUAACAUUUUUGUUGUUCAAUCCUUUUUUUUAUUUGUGAAUGCUUACAUUUUCAACUAGCAUAUUGUAUUGGAAUUUCUAAAUGGGAACCCAUCACUGAAAGAUCUGGCGUUCGACCCUUUGUUCCGAGCAUACUGUUUGUGAAAUGAGAGGUAUUACCUCUUUUUGUAGAAAUCCUUCAUAGCAAUAAAAAAAUCAUUCUUGAUUUCUUUUCUAUGAAGCCUAAAUGUUUCUCGGUCUCUGCUUGAUAAUGAUACUGAUCUAGGUGUUAAGCCUAAUUAAGUAGAAGAACUUUUAUACUUUCUGAUUUUGCAAGGUUUUUUAAAUAUUUUCUGAUUUCGUGAUUUUAUGGUUAUUUAUCUAUAAAUUGGGGAGUGUUAUUUGAAUAACUAACUGUAAAGAAGCAUAUCAUGUUAGGAAUUUCAUCUGUUUUAGGCUUGUAGCUCACGAUUUGAAUUCUUUAUUUUUUUUUUAAAAAGAGAGAAGGAUUUUGUCUUCAAAAUGCUAAAGAAAUAGAAAUUAUAUCUCUUCCAGCGUGAUAGUGAUAUCUAGGACCGAGCUAGCAGUUACUUAGUUGUUGUAUGCAGGGCUGCCACAAUCGCUUAAAUUGGUUUAAUUUUUUUAUUUUCUCAGUCUUUUCAUUGGAGUUGCUUAACACUUUGUUAUUUUAGUGUGUUCUAUUUUUAUUAUUGUUGCAAUUUUUGUGAUAAUUGUGUAUUCGUGGGUUUGUGAAGCAUUUCAUAGUGUGGUUGUAAUGCUCUUCUACUCCUUGAUCUCUUUAAUAUUCUAUGUUAUUAUGUUUGUUGUAUUUUUUACCUGAGCUCUUUAGUUUUAUGAUAUAUUUCUACAUGUUAGUGAAUAUAAUACAUGUUGAUGUAUGCACAUUAAUCAAUAUUAAAAUAUACUCAAUAACGUUAAAUAUGUUAUUAAAAUUUCACGUUCAGGAAUGAAAAAGUAUUUGCUUGUACCCCUCGUUAUACUAUUGGGAUAUCCAUACCCCUAUCAUCAUACUAUUGGGUUAUCAUAUACCUCUCUUGAAACAAAAAUACCCCUACUUUUGCAUGGAGUGCAAUAUGGCAACACCAGAUUAAAACGACCCCUUUUUUUUUACCCGACCCAUUUUUUUAAAAUACCUACAACCCGAACCCAUUUUCAUUUUAUUUCCA
Molecule: long non-coding RNA, 2358 nt
Filed under: Nicotiana benthamiana
Lineage: Eukaryota; Viridiplantae; Streptophyta; Magnoliopsida; Solanales; Solanaceae
Description: long non-coding RNA (NBEN_LNC029265)
Source: RNAcentral